This 378-nucleotide unclassified non-coding RNA is filed under the name soil metagenome. RNAcentral describes it as "partial contains 5.8S ribosomal RNA, internal transcribed spacer 2, and large subunit ribosomal RNA". The stretch from base 1 to 121 matches the Rfam family "5.8S ribosomal RNA", at positions 35 to 154 of the family's 154-position model. The record is from RNAcentral.
GAUGAAGAACGUAGUGAAAUGCGAUAAGUAAUGCGAAUUGCAGAAUUCCAGUGAGUCAUCGAAUCUUUGAACGCACAUUGCGCCCUUUGGCAUUCCGAAGGGCAUGCCUGUUCGAGCGUCAUUAUCACCCCUCAAGCCCCCUUGGCUUGGUGUUGGACGGUUUUGGUGGGGACGUGCAGCCUCUCACCCCUCCUAAAGACAAUGACGGCGGCGUCGUUGGGACCCCCGGUACACUGAGCUUCUCACCGAGCACGUGCUGGAAGGGUCUUGUGGCCACGGUCUGCCUCCCCUCUGGGAGAAACGGAUUUCAUCCACCAAGGUUGACCUCGGAUCAGGUAGGGAUACCCGCUGAACUUAAGCAUAUCAAUAAGCGGAGGA